This 76-nucleotide transfer RNA is filed under the name Burkholderiales bacterium. RNAcentral's name for it is "tRNA-Gly". It matches the Rfam family "tRNA". From Rfam's summary of the family: Transfer RNA (tRNA) molecules are approximately 80 nucleotides in length. Lineage: Bacteria; Pseudomonadati; Pseudomonadota; Betaproteobacteria; Burkholderiales. RNAcentral also lists the same sequence under 3 other names. The record is from RNAcentral.
GCGGGAGUAGCUCAGUUGGUAGAGCGUAACGUUGCCAACGUUAAGGUCGCGAGUUCGAGACUCGUCUCCCGCUCCA